This 1279-nucleotide ribosomal RNA is filed under the name metagenome. Its description in RNAcentral is "SSU rRNA". It matches the Rfam family "Eukaryotic small subunit ribosomal RNA", at positions 1 to 1316 of the family's 1831-position model. The record is from RNAcentral.
UCUGGUUGAUCCUGCCAGUAGUCAUAUGCUUGUCUUAAAGAUUAAGCCAUGCAUGUCUAAGUAUAAAUAGUAUACAGUGAAACUGCGAAUGGCUCAUUAAAACAGUUAUAGUUUAUUUGAUAAUUGAAUUCUACAUGGAUAACCGUAGUAAUUCUAGAGCUAAUACAUGCUGUAAAACCUGACUUUUUGGAAAGGUUGUAUUUAUUAGAUAUCAAACCAAUAAUCUUUCGGGAUUAUUGUGAUGAUUCAUAAUAACUGAUCGGAUCAAGGAAUACCUUGAUAGAUCAUUCAAGUUUCUGCCCUAUCAGCUUUCGAUGGUAGUGUAUUGGACUACCAUGGCAGUCACGGGUAACGGAGAAUUAGGGUUCGAUUCCGGAGAGGGAGCCUGAGAAACGGCUACCACAUCUACGGAAGGCAGCAGGCGCGUAAAUUACCCAAUCCUGAUUCAGGGAGGUAGUGACAAGAAAUAACAACUCGGGGCCUCACGGCUUUCGAGAUUGCAAUGAGAACAAUUUAAAACACUUAACGAGGAACAAUUGGAGGGCAAGUCUGGUGCCAGCAGCCGCGGUAAUUCCAGCUCCAAUAGCGUAUAUUAAAGUUGUUGCAGUUAAAAAGCUCGUAGAUGAAUUUCUGGUUAUGAAUGUAUCGGUUUCCGAUGCAUUUGUAGCCAUCCACAUGAGAACCUUUCUCGGCCUUUACUGGUCGGUUGGGGGAUCAUGUACUUUACUUUGAAAAAAUCAGAGUGUUUCAGGCAGGCGUUUGCAUGAAUACACAAGCAUGGAAUAAUGGAAUAGGACUAGGGUCCAUUUUAUUGGUUAUUGGACCAUAGUAAUGAUUAAUAGGGACAGUUGGGGGCAUUAGUAUUUAAUUGUCAGAGGUGAAAUUCUUGGAUUUAUUAAAGACUAACUUAUGCGAAAGCAUUUGCCAAGGAUGUUUUCAUUAAUCAAGAACGAAAGUUAGGGGAUCAAAGACGAUCAGAUACCGUCCUAGUCUUAGCUAUAAACUAUACCGACUAGGGAUUGGUUGGGUCAUUAGAGCCCAAUCAGCACCUUAUGAGAAAUCGAAGUCUUUGGGUUCUGGGGGGAGUAUGGUCGCAAGGCUGAAACUUAAAGGAAUUGACGGAAGGGCACCACCAGGAGUGGAGCCUGCGGCUUAAUUUGACUCAACACGGGGAAACUUACCAGCGCAAAACAUGGGUGGGAUUGACAGAUUGAGAGCUCUUUCUUGAUUCUAUGGGUGGUGGUGCAUGGCCGUUCUUAGUUGGUGGAGUGAUUUGUCU